Molecule: ribosomal RNA, 305 nt
Filed under: uncultured bacterium
Lineage: Bacteria
Description: bacterial SSU rRNA
Rfam family: Bacterial small subunit ribosomal RNA
Source: RNAcentral
UAAACCUACGGGAGGCAGCAGUAGGGAAUUUUCGUCAAUGGGCGCAAGCCUGAACGAGCAAUGCCGCGUGAACGAGGAAGGUCUUCGGAUCGUGAGGUUCUGUUGGAGGGGAAAAAGAGCGGAGAGAGGAAAUGAACUCCGAUUGAUAUUACCCUACGAGGAAGUCACGGCUAACUAUGUGCCAGCAGCCGCGGUAAUACGUAGGUGGCGAGCGUUAUCCGGAAUGAUUGGGCGUAAAGGGUGCGUAGGCGGCCUGCUAAGUCUGGAGUGAAAGGUACCGGCUCAACCGGUACAGGCUCUGGAAA